AAGUCUAUUUAAUUAUUUUACUAUACAAUGACUGUCAACUGAACUUCGCUUAGAAUCGUUUUUUUCGUAAGCAACGGUCUAUCGUCGAUCACGGGUAUACAUUAAAUUGUCUAUAACAAUGGCUGUACCCGAUCCCGUUAUCUUAGGAGGACGUCUUUUUUAUUACACACCUAAAGUGUCACGUAAACACCCAUCGAGUUCAUAUCCGCCUAAUCUGAUCAUAUGGGGCACAGCUGCUUCAUAUAGGAUACCCAAUAGCCAUCACUCACGCGUCACCACUGAAAAUGUUUGGCGAGCUUGCGAUGGAUUUCGGUAUGCUGAACCUAUCUAAUAUUAACUAUAUAAGUAGUCGUUUACAUUAUAUAUUAUACACAGGUUUGAAUUUUGUCAGAAAAUUACGGUUGUUUGGAUUGUAUUUGUUUAGGGCCGGAUUUGCGUCACGACAAUGAAAACUCGACGUUGUUAUAUAUCGGAAAAUGUAUAAAUCCCGUUAGUUUGUUUAUGUUUGCCGUUUGCUUUUCGCUGUCGCUAUCGACAUUUUUAGAUGGUAUAUUAUUGUGAAAAUCGACGGCGACUGCUGCGUAA
Non-coding RNA from Cinara cedri, 585 nucleotides. The record is from the annotation of a GenBank genome assembly. NCBI's taxonomy places the organism in Eukaryota, Metazoa, Arthropoda, Insecta, Hemiptera, Aphididae.